RNAcentral lists this long non-coding RNA (367 nucleotides) under Homo sapiens (human). Its description in RNAcentral is "non-protein coding lnc-BDP1-5:1". The record is from RNAcentral. Lineage: Eukaryota; Metazoa; Chordata; Mammalia; Primates; Hominidae.
AUCCACCCGCCUCAGUCUCCCAAUAGAUUACAUAUAUUAUUAAUGAAUUGCUUCCUUUAACACCCUAUUCAUUGAAUUUUCCAGUAAACCACAAUUACUAAUUACUCCUGAAAUCAGAAAAGAGGUUAAAAAGAUUUUAUAACAGUAUCCUAUGAAAUCUACUACUUUCAAGUAAUAGUAGUUGAAUUACCAAAACCCGUCACUCAAGCCAAUGACUACAAUUAAGAUAUGAGUAACAUUUCCUAGAUAAAUAAAGUCAAUUAAUUAUAUUUGCAUCUGGGAAAUAGAGAAAGUACAUAUAAGCCAUGAUUUUGAAGUCAAAAGAGAGAGAAUAUUUGCCAAGGAGGGGUGAGUUAUAGUAUGUAAU